GCAAGUGUAAGCAGUAUUUUAAAGACACAGGUGACAGUGAAACACUAUCUUGGCUUUCCUCCCCGUUUAGUCAUGCCUUUCAGUCCACCCUUGCUGCAGGUGACAUGAAUUUGAUUAUCCCAGCUACUCAACCUCCCAAUGAAAAACAGCAGCUCCCAUCCAGGAACAAAUCAGCAUGAAAUCAGACAGUUGACAGUGGUUUCUCAAAAACUCCCUUUAAUGUAGUUACACUGGGGACCGGGUUACCUAUUAAAACCAAGCUGAUCUCUCACAUCUGACCUGUGGUUGUGCCUGCUUUCAUCUCAUCCAUCCUUUCAUGUUUUCGGAUUACGGUGCUGUGGGAGGCCAACCUAAGGUGUUUAAUGAAUACUAUUAUUUUAUAAGCUUCUCUUAAAUAGUUAGACAAAUAUUCUGUAAUCCUUUGGACUCAUCCUAGGUCAACCACAUAGUUAAUGGACAAUGAUAACAAACAAGUUGAAAUUGAAGCUUUGGGGAAAAUGCCCCUUCCUUCAUCACACGCACGUGUGCGCACAUGCACAGUCUGAAGCACGACAGACACGGUAUAGAAGAAAUACAACACUCUGUCAUGGAUAUCUUACACAACUCCAGUCCUGCAGAUGUAGUUUGGAAUUCUGAAGCAUUAUUCAAGUGAGUCCCUACAUAGGUUGUCCUCCAAAAGAACCUGCGUGUAGAUCCUGACAGGAGCAACAGAGAAACCUGUGGGGUCAUCGUUCAAGAUGCUAGUCUGUGUUGUCUGGAAGUCAAUGUACAGGGGUGACUAGUGAAUGAACAAGGAAAUCUGCCAAUUUCCAUGCUACUGGCUUCUGCUUCUGACAAUAGAGAUUUGUACAUCGAUGCUGUGCUCGCCAGCUGGUCCGUGGGAUUUGCGUUAUGCUAUUUGUUUGGAUGGAUGCGUUCCUGUAAAGAGAUGAUGUCGCGUUUUUCAGCCGGCACAGGAGUUUGCAGGCUGCUGAAAGCUCAACAGCCAUUCAGGCUUCAAAGACAAAAGGGAGAUUUCCCUCUUUAAUCUUCGCCGAUGUUCCCUCACUCAACCCAUCUUGGCUGGAAGCUCUCUGGAGCAGCGCACACAGCGCUCGCCAAUGCGCGGAGCCGUGCGCUCCUGGUGCUAAUAAAGCCAUCGCUCCGGCACGGCAGGUCGGGUGAUUACUGCCUCUGGUAAAUGCUUGUGAGACAAUAAGCAGACAUAGGGAGAAAUGAACUGAUCGAGGUGAGCAAGAGGAUGGGGUGGAUGAGAAACGCGGGGUGGGAGAGCCUCGGCAAUACGUUCACCCAGGGGAACCUCACCCUGCUGGUGGAUUCCCGACCCACGCUCUUAUCUCUCUGCAGAGCCCGCAGUGAAAAGCCAAUGCUGUUCAGGAAGCUUUUUCCUUACAGAUGAGAUAUAAAACCAAUGCCUGCCUAACCACUUAUGUACAUUAAUGAUCCCCCAGUGCUCUCCAAAAGAGGAAAAAUAUUAACCCAGGCAUCAUAAUAAUAUGCUGCUUGCUUAUAAGCCCUGUACAAUUUAAAUUCAAUCUGGUGUGAUGUUAUUUCUGACUUCCUGACCCAAAUUGGUGUGCGUGCAGCUCUGAGCUGUUAAGCAGAUGAUUGUUCCAUCCCAGCAGCAGAUCCAUCUCUCCGAUGCCUUGGAAGGAUUUCUCGGCCUGCGUUGCAGAGAGCCUCUGUUGAAAAAUGUGCCGCAUGUCAAACCGUUGGCUGAGCACAGCACAUCAUCCAUGGGGCCAUUUUUACUGUACACACACAUCCUUCGUUUCCUACGAACACACCACUGCCAGAGACUGCAGAUGGAGAAAGGCUCUCAAAUCCCUCUGUUGGUAAAAAGGCGAAAAUGCUCCAGACGGAUUUUCCUCUCCUUUUCCACCUACCCACAGCUCCUUCAGACAGCGUCCUCCCUAUGCAGCAAAUGCAGUCCUGUGAAGGUCAGGGUUGGUGAUAGGCCCGUGUUUUGCUGCUGUGUGCUCAGGUGCAGAAGGUAUGGGAACCCUCCUGGUCCCACCCUGUCUGGGUUUCCCUGGGAGAGCCCUGGUGCCAGGACCUGCACCCCGGAGCUGCUCACACCCUACCUGCUCCGCAAAUGAGCAGAGCCAAAGCAGAUGGCUUUGUGGAGCAUAAAACAAAACAGAGAGAUCUGUGGUGGCUGCAGAAAUACUGCCCUGGCUCUCCCCUGCGUGAUCAGGGGAUGGCAGGGCUCUCCUGCUCUGGGCAGCUGGGUGAGCCCCUAGAAGCUGGAGCUGCUGGAAGAGCUGGCUGCUGACCGACCUCCUGCAUGCCCAAUCCCAGCUCUGCGCUUGCAUUUGUGUUGCAGCAGUGUUUUCCUGGGAGCCAAACAAAACAGUUGUUCAUGAGCCACUCAGAGUAUGUGCUGGGGCAUGAAGGAGGUGUCAGUUUGUCCUAAUUAGUAAUUGCAACAGACUCACUUUGGUGUAGUGUCCUGCUAAAAGGAAUGGUAUGAAGGAUCUUGUCAUCAUUCCUCUGGAAAGUAAAGUAGUCCUCCCCAGUCCGUGGUCCCAAGCAGAGUUUGCUUGCUGAUACAUGAUCAUGGGCAAUGAAAUGAGCUCCAAUCUCCAUUUACGAGCUUUUACAAUCAAUGGUAUGGUUAAAGAUUGCAUGAUAACCAUGCUGGGAAACUUCUGUUUCUUACUCCCCUGUUUUCAGUUGCAGAUAUUUUAUAAUUCAAUGCUGGACUUGUACAUAAUACUUCAGUACCAUUCAUGCAGGUGGCUCCAAUAAAUUUAGAAACUUUUUUUGUGGUAUUUGCAGCUGACUAAUUUUUCCGUGUUGUUUUUCCUUCUCCUUUAUUAUAAAAGUGUAACUCAGUAUCAUUCAUGACAACUAGAAAUGAAGCCAGGCAAAGAUCAGACUUUGGAC
Molecule: long non-coding RNA, 2889 nt
Organism: Gallus gallus (chicken)
Lineage: Eukaryota; Metazoa; Chordata; Aves; Galliformes; Phasianidae
Source: Ensembl